CUCCCAGGAUAGCUCAGUUGGUUGAGCACGAGGCUCUUAAUCUCAGGGUGAUGGAUUCGAGUCCCAGGUUGGGGAGA
Podarcis lilfordi (Lilford's wall lizard) is the source of this 77-nucleotide non-coding RNA. Lineage: Eukaryota; Metazoa; Chordata; Lepidosauria; Squamata; Lacertidae. The record is from the annotation of a GenBank genome assembly.